Molecule: ribosomal RNA, 1310 nt
Filed under: uncultured bacterium
Lineage: Bacteria
Description: bacterial SSU rRNA
Rfam family: Bacterial small subunit ribosomal RNA
Source: RNAcentral
AACACGUGAGCAACCUGUCCUUGAGUUGGGGAAAACCCGUUGGAAACGACGGCUAAUACCGGAUGUGGCGCCUGGGGACAUCCUUGGAGCGCUAAAGGGGGCCGCAAGGCUCUCGCUCGAAGAGGGGCUCGCGCAUCAUCAGCUCGUUGGCGGGGUAACGGCCCACCAAGGCAUACGAUUAGCUGGUCUGAGAGGAUGACCAGCCGCACUGGGACUGAGAUACUGCCCAGACUCCUACGGGAGGCUGCAGUCGAGGAUCAUUUGCAAUGGGCGAAAGCCUGACAAUGCGACGCUGCGUGGAGGAUGAAGGCCUUCGGGUUGUAAACUCCUGUCAUAAGGGAAAAGGCGAGGGGACCUAAUACGUCCUUUAGUUGAUUGUACUUUAAGAGGAAGCGACGGCUAACUCUGUGCCAGCAGCCGCGGUAAUACAGAGGUCGCAAGCGUUGUUCGGAUUUACUGGGCGUAAAGGGCACGUAGGUGGCGAGGCGUGUCGAGUGUGAAAGCUCUGGGCUCAACCCAGAAAGUGCGCUCGAAACUACCUUGCUUGAGUGCGGGAGAGGGAAUCGGAAUAUAGGGUGUAGCGGUGAAAUGCGUUGAUAUCCUAUAGAACACCGGAGGCGAAGGCGGAUUCCUAGAACGCAACUGACACUAAGGUGCGAAAGUCGGGGGAGCAAACAGGAUUAGAUACCCUGGUAGUCCCGACCAUAAACGGUGCAUACUCGAGGUAGGGAGAAUUACCCUUUCUGUCUCUUAGCUAACGCGUUAAGUAUGCCGCCUGGGGAGUACGGCCGCAAGGCUAAAACUCAAAGAAAUUGACGGGGGCCCGCACAAGCAGAGGAGCAUGUGGCUUAAUUCGAUGCAACGCGAAGAACCUUACCUGGAUUUGACAUACAGCUGCGAGGCUUAUGAAAGUAGCCGCUCGCCUCUCGAGGGAGCUGUACAGGUGCUGCAUGGCUGUCGUCAGUUCGUGCCGUGAGGUGUUUGGUUAAGUCCACCAACGAACGCAACCCCUUUGAUCCGUUACCAGCGAGUAAAGUCGGGGACUCAGGUCACACUGCCUGUUUACGCAGGAGGAAGGUGGGGAUGACGUCAAGUCAGUAUGGCCCUUACAUCCAGGGCUGCACACGUGCUACAAUGGCAUAUACAGAGCGAAGCGAGACCGCGAGGUGGAGCAAACCGCUUAGAGUAUGCCUCAGUUCAGAUUGGGGUCUGCAACCCGACCCCAUGAAGUCGGAUUUGCUAGUAACGGCGUAUCAGCUACGACGCCGUGAAUGCGUUCCCGGGCCUUGUACACACCGCCCGUCACAUCA